RNAcentral lists this transfer RNA (69 nucleotides) under Perna viridis (Asian green mussel). RNAcentral describes it as "tRNA-Ile". The record is from RNAcentral. Lineage: Eukaryota; Metazoa; Mollusca; Bivalvia; Mytilida; Mytilidae.
AAGUACUGCGUGGGUAUGAUCCAGUUAGUUUGAUGUUCUAAAGAUUGAGAAAAGUUUCUCUGGUGCUUA